AAGUCGCUGGCGGUAGGCCUAGACAUGCAAUUGGGAACGGGGUAGCCGUAACUUGCUCUCAUGUGACGAGGGGCGGAUGGGUGAUUACUGUCUGGGAAACUGCCUGAUGGAGGGGGAUUUCUACUGGAAACGGUAGCUAAUACCGCAUACCGUCGCAAGACCAAAGAGGGGGACCUUCCGUCCUCUUGCCAUCAAAUGUGCCCAGAUGGAAUUAGCUAGUGGGUGGGGUAAUGGCUCACCUAAGCAACCAUCCCUGGCUGGACUGAAAGGAUGACCACCCUCACUGUAACUGACACACGGUCCUCACUCCUACGGGAGGCAUCAGUGGGAAAUAUUGAUCAAUGGGCGCAUGCCUGAUCCAUCCCUGCCGCGUGAAUAAAGAAUGCCUUCUGGUUGUAAAUUACUUUCAGCGGGAAGGAAGGUGUUGUAGUUAAUAGCCGCUUCAAUUGACCUUACCCACAAAACAACCACCGACUAACUCCCUGCCACCAGCCGCGGUCAUACGGAGGGUGCAUUCAUCAAUCUUAAUUACUGGACAUAACGCGCACGCAGGCUGUCUGUCAAGUCGGAUAUGACAUCGCCGGGCUCAGCCUGGGAACUGC
This 602-nucleotide ribosomal RNA is filed under the name Enterobacter sp. HPC1069. RNAcentral's name for it is "bacterial SSU rRNA". It matches the Rfam family "Bacterial small subunit ribosomal RNA", at positions 30 to 624 of the family's 1533-position model. Lineage: Bacteria; Pseudomonadati; Pseudomonadota; Gammaproteobacteria; Enterobacterales; Enterobacteriaceae. The record is from RNAcentral.